RNAcentral lists this small RNA (894 nucleotides) under Arthopyrenia salicis. RNAcentral describes it as "eukaryotic LSU rRNA". It matches the Rfam family "Eukaryotic large subunit ribosomal RNA", at positions 50 to 964 of the family's 3401-position model. The record is from RNAcentral. Lineage: Eukaryota; Fungi; Ascomycota; Dothideomycetes; Pleosporales; Arthopyreniaceae.
GCGGAGGAAAAGAAACCAACAGGGAUUGCCUCAGUAACGGCGAGUGAAGCGGCAACAGCUCAAAUUUGAAAUCUGGCCCUUUCAGGGUCCGAGUUGUAAUUUGCAGAGGGUGCUUUGGUGUCGGCCGUGGUCUAAGUUCCUUGGAACAGGACGUCACAGAGGGUGAGAAUCCCGUACGUGGCCGCCGGUCUUCACCGUGUAAAGCCCCUUCGACGAGUCGAGUUGUUUGGGAAUGCAGCUCUAAAUGGGAGAUACAUUUCUUCUAAAGCUAAAUAUUGGCCAGAGACCGAUAGCGCACAAGUAGAGUGAUCGAAAGAUGAAAAGCACUUUGGAAAGAGAGUCAAAAAGCACGUGAAAUUGUUGAAAGGGAAGCGCUUGCAGCCAGACGUGCCCGCAGUUGCUCACCUGGGCUCUCGCCCGGGGCAUUCUUCUGCGGGCAGGCCAGCAUCAGUUCGGGCGGUUGGAUAAAGGCCUCUAUCACGUAUCUUCCUUCGGGAUGACCUUAUAGGGGAGGCGCAACACGACCAGCCUGAACUGAGGACCGCGCAUCAGCUAGGAUGCUGGCGUAAUGGCUGUAAGCGGCCCGUCUUGAAACACGGACCAAGGAGUCUAACAUCUAUGCGAGUGUUUGGGUGUAAAGCCCGGGCGCGCAAUGAAAGUGAACGGAGGUGGGAACCCCUCGGGGUGCACCAUCGACCGAUCCUGAAGUCUUCGGAUGGAUUUGAGUAAGAGCAUAGCUGUUGGGACCCGAAAGAUGGUGAACUAUGCCUGAAUAGGGUGAAGCCAGGGGAAACCCUGGUGGAGGCUCGCAGCGGUUCUGACGUGCAAAUCGAUCGUCAAAUUUGGGCAUAGGGGCGAAAGACUAAUCGAACCAUCUAGUAGCUGGUUCUGCGA